This 500-nucleotide ribosomal RNA is filed under the name uncultured bacterium. Its description in RNAcentral is "partial 16S ribosomal RNA". It matches the Rfam family "Bacterial small subunit ribosomal RNA", at positions 29 to 523 of the family's 1533-position model. The record is from RNAcentral.
AUUGAACGCUGGCGGCAUGCCUUACACAUGCAAGUCGAACGGCAGCACGGGAGCAAUCCUGGUGGCGAGUGGCGAACGGGUGAGUAAAGUAUCGGAACGUGCCCAGUCGUGGGGGAUAACGUAGCGAAAGUUACGCUAAUACCGCAUACGAUCUAUGGAUGAAAGCGGGGGAUCGCAAGACCUCGCGCGAUUGGAGCGGCCGAUAUCAGAUUAGGUAGUUGGUGGGGUAAAGGCUCACCAAGCCGACGAACUGUAGCUGGCCUGAGAGGACGACAGGCCACACUGGGACUGGGACACGGCCCAGACUCCUACGGGGGGAAGCAGUGGGGAAUUUUGGACAAUGGGCGAAAGCCUGAUCCAGCCAUGCCGCGUGCAGGAUGAAGGCCUUCGGGUUGUAAACUGCUUUUGUACGGAACGAAAAGGUUUGGCCUAAUAAGCUGAGCUCAUGACGGUACCGUAAGAAUAAGCACCGGCUAACUACGUGCCAGCCGCCGCCGUAA